AAGUCGUACGGUUCCGAUUUAUCGGGACAGUGGCGAACGGCUGAGUAACACGUAGGUAACCUGCCCCUAAGUAGGGGAUAACUCUGAGAAAUCGGAGCUAAUACCUUAUGCGGUGGUGACAUUGUGGUGUCAUCACUAAAGCCUUCGGGUGCUUAGGGAGGGGCUUGCGUCCUAUCAGGUAGUUGGUAGGGUAAUAGCCUACCAAGCCGAUGACGGGUAGCUGGUCUGAGAGGAUGUCCAGCCAGACUGGGACUGAGACACGGCCCAGACUCCUACGGGAGGCAGCAGCAAGGAAUAUUGUGCAAUGGGCGAAAGCCUGACACAGCGACGCUGCGUGGGGGAAGAAGGCCUUCGGGUUGUAAACCCCUUUUCUCAGGGAAGAUGAUGACGGUACCUGAGGAAUAAGUCUCGGCCAACUACGUGCCAGCAGCCGCGGUAAUACGUAGGAGGCGAGUGUUAUCCGGAUUUACUGGGCGUAAGAGGGCGUAGGCGGUUCUUCAAGUCGGAUGUGAAAUCUCCUGGCUUAACUGGGAGGAGUCAUUCGAAACUGUUGGGCUAGAGGGCAGCAGAGGGAGGUGGAAUUCCCGGUGUAGUGGUGAAAUGCGUAGAUAUCGGGAGGAACACCAGUGGCGAAGGCGGCCUCCUGGGCUGUUUCUGACGCUGAGGCUCUAAAGCGUGGGGAGCGAACAGGAUUAGAUACCCUGGUAGUCCACGCUGUAAACUAUGGACACUAGGUAUGGGGAGUAUCGACCCUCUCUGUGCCGAAGCUAACGCUUUAAGUGUCCCGCCUGGGGACUACGGCCGUAAGGCUAAAACUCAAAGGAAUUGACGGGGGCCCGCACAAGCAGCGGAGCGUGUGGUUUAAUUCGAUGCAACACGAAGAACCUUACCAGGGCUUGACAUGUUGGAAGUAGCAAUCCGAAAGGGGAGCGACCUGUUAAAUCAGGAACCGACACAGGUGCUACAUGGCUGUCGUCAGCUCGUGCCGUGAGGUGUUGGGUUAAGUCCCGCAACGAGCGCAACCCUCGUUGCCAGUUAAUUUCUCUGGCGAGACUGCCCCGCAAAACGGGGAGGAAGGUGGGGAUGACGUCAAGUCAGCACGGCCCUUAUGCCCUGGGCUACACACACGCUACAAUGGGUGGUACAAUGGGUUGCAAUGGAGCGAUCCCUAGCUAAUCCAAAAAGCUACCCUCAGUUCGGAUUGCAGGCUGAAACCCGCCUGCAUGAAGCC
This 1231-nucleotide ribosomal RNA is filed under the name uncultured Chloroflexota bacterium. RNAcentral describes it as "bacterial SSU rRNA". It matches the Rfam family "Bacterial small subunit ribosomal RNA", at positions 59 to 1327 of the family's 1533-position model. Lineage: Bacteria; Bacillati; Chloroflexota. The record is from RNAcentral.